GACGAACGCUGGCGGCGUGCUUAACACAUGCAAGUCGAACGGAAAGGCCCUGCUUUUGUGGGGUGCUCGAGUGGCGAACGGGUGAGUAACACGUGAGUAACCUGCCCUUGACUUUGGGAUAACUUCAGGAAACUGGGGCUAAUACCGGAUAGGAGCUCCUGCUACAUGGUGGGGGUUGGAAAGUUUCGGCGGUUGGGGAUGGACUCGCGGCUUAUCAGCUUGUUGGUGGGGUAGUGGCUUACCAAGGCUUUGACGGGUAGCCGGCCUGAGAGGGUGACCGGCCUCAUUGGGCCUGAGAUACGGCCCAGACUCCUACGGGAGGCAGCAGUCGGGAAUAUUGCACAAUGGGCCCAAGCCUGAUGCAGCAACGCCGCGUGCGGGAUGACGGCCUUCGGGUUGUAAACCGCUUUCGCCUGUGACGAAGCGUGAGUGACGGUAAUGGGUAAAGAAGCACCGGCUAACUACGUG
Molecule: ribosomal RNA, 468 nt
Filed under: uncultured bacterium
Lineage: Bacteria
Description: partial 16S ribosomal RNA
Rfam family: Bacterial small subunit ribosomal RNA
Source: RNAcentral